GGUGGAGUGGCUUAGUGGUUAGCAUGUUUGUCUUGCACCUCUAGGGUUGGGGGUUUGAAUCCUGCCUCUGCCC
Non-coding RNA from Pangasianodon gigas (Mekong giant catfish), 73 nucleotides. The record is from the annotation of a GenBank genome assembly. NCBI's taxonomy places the organism in Eukaryota, Metazoa, Chordata, Actinopteri, Siluriformes, Pangasiidae.